UUUUUAAAAGAAAACUGAAUUUCUCAAUGUUAUGCAUUUUGUAGGUUAGGUUUUAGCGCUAUGUAUAACAGCUUCUCUUUCUUCUUCUUGUACCGCCCCUCUAUUCGCUGCUCCUUUCAAUUUUUCUCUCUAUUUCAGUCUUCCCCCUCUUUUUCUCUUCCAUUGGUGCCUCUGUUCCUCUAUUGAUCUCUUUGAUUCUUUCUCUAUUUCACUUUCCCACCCCUUUCCCCUCUUGGUUGCUCUUUUCAAGUCCCCUCUGAUCUCUCGUCUCACCUGUAUCACUCUCAAGUCAUCUAUAAGACACCUCUGCCUCAACAUCAUCACACAGAGCAGCACCUUACUAUGCCAGUCGUCACCAUUGUUUGUUGAUUGCAAGUUGCAACCUCUAACUACCUUGCCACCAUCGCCUCUCCCUCCCUCCCUCCCUUAGUGAACACUCUGUUUGGAUGAGGGUGAAGGA
RNAcentral lists this unclassified non-coding RNA (460 nucleotides) under Hevea brasiliensis (rubber tree). The record is from RNAcentral. Lineage: Eukaryota; Viridiplantae; Streptophyta; Magnoliopsida; Malpighiales; Euphorbiaceae.